UACGUAGGGGGCGAGCGUUGUCCGGAAUGAUUGAGUGUAGGGGGCGUGUAGGCGGCUGAUUAAGUCUGGAGUGAAAGUCCUGUUUUCAAGAUGGGAAUUGCUUUGGAUACUGGUCAGCUUGAGUGCAGGAGAGGUUAUCGGAAUUCCCGGUGUAGCGGUGAAAUGCGUAGAGAUCGGGAGGAACACCAGUGGCGAAGGCGGGUAACUGGACUGCAACUGACGCUGAGGCGCGAAAGUGUGGGGAGCAAAC
Molecule: ribosomal RNA, 250 nt
Filed under: uncultured prokaryote
Description: partial 16S ribosomal RNA
Rfam family: Bacterial small subunit ribosomal RNA
Source: RNAcentral